AACGAACGCUGGCGGCAUGCCUAACACAUGCAAGUCGAACGAUUGCCUUCUGGUGAUGUUGGCUCACGGGGGCGUAACGCGUGGGAAUCUGCCCUUAUGUUCGGAAUAACAGCUGGAAACAGCUUCUAAUACCGGGUGCUAUCGCGAGAUCAAAGAUUUAUCGCCUUAGGAUGAGCCUGCGUUGCAUUAGGUAUGGGGUGGGGUAAAGGCCUACCAAGCCGCGGAUCCAUAGCUGGUGUGAGAGGAUGAUCAGCCAAACUGGGACUUGGACCAGGCCCAGACGCGUGCGGGCGGCAGCAGUGGGAAUAUUGGACAAUGGGCGCAAGUCUGAUCCAGCAAUGCGGGGUGAGUGAUGAAGGCCCUAGGGUUGUAAAGCUCUUUUACCCGGGAAGAUAAUGACUGUACCGGGAGAAUAAGCCCCGGCUAACUCCGUG
RNAcentral lists this ribosomal RNA (434 nucleotides) under uncultured bacterium. Its description in RNAcentral is "partial 16S ribosomal RNA". It matches the Rfam family "Bacterial small subunit ribosomal RNA", at positions 29 to 507 of the family's 1533-position model. The record is from RNAcentral.